Long non-coding RNA from Oncorhynchus keta (chum salmon), 151 nucleotides. RefSeq lists it as uncharacterized. The record is from RefSeq and is a predicted model, not a curated record. NCBI's taxonomy places the organism in Eukaryota, Metazoa, Chordata, Actinopteri, Salmoniformes, Salmonidae. The transcript has 3 exons.
CUUCAACAUGGUGGAGAGGUUGAGGUCAGGAUGGCUCUUCAACAUGGUGGAGAGGUUGAGGUCAGGAUGGUUCUUCAACAUGGUGGAGAGGUAGAGGUCAGGAUGGUUCUUCAACAUGGUGGAGAGGUUGAGGUCAGGAUGGCUCUUCAAC